AUGGCCUGGGCCCCUUUCCUCCUCCUUCUACUCUGCUACUUCUCAGGUUCCCUCUCCCAGCCUGUGCCGACUCAGCCACCCUCCCUCUCUGCCUCUCCUAAAGCAUCGGCCAGACUCACCUGCACCCUGAGCAGCGGUUCUGUUGUUGGUGGCUAUCACAUGUCCUGGUACCAGCAGAAGCCAGGGAGCCCUCCCCGGUAUCUCCUGAGAUUCAAGUCUGACUCAGAUAAGCACCAGGGCUCUGGGGUUUCCAGCCACUUCUCUGGAUCCAAAGAUGCCUCGGCCAAUGCAGGGAUCCCGCACAUCUCUGAGCUGCAGGUGGAGGACGAGGCUGACUAUUACUGUGGUACAUUACAUACCAACAGUGGCAAGUACACAGUGCUCCAGACCCAGGGGGAAGUGACAGAAAACCUCCCCUGUGUUCUCCCUGCCUGGUGCAGACACUGAUGCCCUCCCUGCCUGGGGCUGA
Non-coding RNA from Nycticebus coucang (slow loris), 469 nucleotides. NCBI's taxonomy places the organism in Eukaryota, Metazoa, Chordata, Mammalia, Primates, Lorisidae. The record is from the annotation of a RefSeq genome assembly.